UGGAGGGCAAGUCUGGUGCCAGCAGCCGCGGUAAUUCCAGCUCCAAUAGCGUAUAUUAAAGUUGUUGCAGUUAAAAAGCUCGUAGUUGAACCUUGGGUCUGGCUGGCCGGUCCGCCUCACCGCGAGUACUGGUCCGGCUGACCUUUCCUUCUGGGGAACCUCAUGGCCUUCACUGGCUGUGGGGGGAACCAGGACUUUUACUGUGAAAAAAUUAGAGUGUUCAAAGCAGGCCUUUGCUCGAAUACAUUAGCAUGGAAUAAUAGAAUAGGACGUGUGGUUCUAUUUUGUUGGUUUCUAGGACCGCCGUAAUGAUUAAUAGGGAUAGUCGGGGGCGUCAGUAUUCAGCUGUCAGAGGUGAAAUUCUUGGAUUUGCUGAAGACUAACUACUGCGAAAGCAUUCGCCAAGGAUGUUUUCAUUAAUCAGGGAACGAAAGUUAGGGGAUCGAAGACGAUCAGAUACCGUCGUAGUCUUAACCAUAAACUAUGCCGACUAGGGAUCGGACGGGAUUCUAUGAUGACCCGUUCGGCACCUUACGGGAAAC
RNAcentral lists this ribosomal RNA (542 nucleotides) under uncultured Penicillium. RNAcentral describes it as "SSU rRNA". It matches the Rfam family "Eukaryotic small subunit ribosomal RNA", at positions 549 to 1098 of the family's 1831-position model. The record is from RNAcentral. Lineage: Eukaryota; Fungi; Ascomycota; Eurotiomycetes; Eurotiales; Aspergillaceae.